AUCAGCUGAAGAAUCCCAAAUAGGACGGAAUGUGCGUCCUAGAU
Molecule: non-coding RNA, 44 nt
Filed under: Schistosoma mansoni
Lineage: Eukaryota; Metazoa; Platyhelminthes; Trematoda; Strigeidida; Schistosomatidae
Source: RNAcentral